Molecule: ribosomal RNA, 253 nt
Filed under: uncultured bacterium
Lineage: Bacteria
Description: partial 16S ribosomal RNA
Rfam family: Bacterial small subunit ribosomal RNA
Source: RNAcentral
UACGUAGGGUGCAAGCGUUAAUCGGAAUUACUGGGCGUAAAGGGUGCGUAGGCGGGUCUUUAAGUCAGGGGUGAAAUCCUGGAGCUCAACUCCAGAACUGCCUUUGAUACUGAAGAUCUUGAGUCCGGGAGAGGUGAGUGGAACUGCGAGUGUAGAGGUGAAAUUCGUAGAUAUUCGCAAGAACACCAGUGGCGAAGGCGGCUCACUGGCCCGGUACUGACGCUGAGGCACGAAAGCGUGGGGAGCAAACAGG